RNAcentral lists this long non-coding RNA (1399 nucleotides) under Marmota monax (woodchuck). The record is from RNAcentral. Lineage: Eukaryota; Metazoa; Chordata; Mammalia; Rodentia; Sciuridae.
GGCUCAAGUGGUAGCGCGCUCACCUGGCAUGCGUGCCGCCCGGGUUCGAUCCUCAGCACUACAUACAAACAAAGAUGUUGUGUCUGCCGAAAACUAAAAAAUAAAUAUUAAAAUUCUCUCUCUAAAUAAAUAAAUAAACACAGGUUUGGUUUUUAGCAAUGACCUAAAUGUUUUCAUCCAGCUAUUUUAUGUAUAAAAAUAAAAGCUUAAAGGACAAACCCAAAUAAAAUUCUAUCAUUUCUAUCAUAUCACUAACAUGAGAACAACGGUUGCUUACUCAAUAACAUUUUUAGGUACUCUCUUGAAUGCAUGUCAAGUUUAGAUAUCUCGAGUUUUAAGCAUAUAAUGCUUCCCUCAGGAAUUUCUCCCAUAUCCUGAGUAUAAGGAAAUUCUUUAUUCAAAAGAAAUAAGAUAUACUAACUAUAAAAAUAUAAUAGGAGGUGUCACAUUUGUCCUAUUGCUCCUUCCUUUUACAAACAGCUAAAUAAUAAUUUUAUAGUGUCUUUUGCUCUUAACCUCACAAGAAGACAACCAAGACAGUGACUAUCAUAAAAAUACCAUUACAGCCAUUUUCAGUCAGUCUGUUGUUGAAAAACUGGCAGAAUUUUUCUUGAAUGAAUAAAAUUUAAGCAUAUAAUUUAAUCUGAGCAGCAUUUUCUCAAUACUACAUUAGCAACCAACCAAUAGUAUGAUUUUAUAAAUGGUUAAUGUAAGAUCUGAGUGGAGAGAAAUUUACCUUUGUCAACUUCUUUCAUGUGCCUUCCUCUACUCAAAGGGGAACCUCAUGUCUAGGAUAAACCUUAUAUCCAUUUUUAUGUAAUACAUGGUAAAACAAAGUUCUAGUUGGUCAUUUUAUAACAUUCUAGAUGUUAGCUGGCACAUGUGGUUGGUAUUCUGAUUCUAUUUGUAGACAAAAUGAAAGAAAAACUUAAAAAAAAAUAAAUGUUACCAGGGUUUAUACAUGUGUGAUUUUAGUGGGAAAGCCUCAUUUUUGUUUUCAAGUAACCCCAAUAUACACAAAUCUUCUAUUGAGGUAAGUACAUGUGUAUGUCAGUAAUGUUUGGCAGACUAUAAUACUUAAGAACAAAAUAGAUCAAGUCAGGUAUUUCACACGUUUUCAGUCUUUAGAAAUAGUCUCUUGUUCACCAGAGUGCUUCCUUCAGCCAAGCAAUUUUAAUGAUACGCCCCAGAGUAACUUGACAUAAGCACUUAGAGCUCUCUCAGCCCAGUUCUCUCCAUAAAUGUAACAUAUUACUAUUUCAAGUGGCAUAUUUGAUACUGUUGCCCCAUACCAAGUAAAUCUCAAGAUUUAUUUUAAGACAAACUUCUUCACUGCUUGAAGUUUCUGGCAUUUAAAUAUACGUAAGUUUUUAAAAUGGCGAUCUUAAAUGUCUUAUGC